RNAcentral lists this ribosomal RNA (503 nucleotides) under Listeria monocytogenes. RNAcentral's name for it is "bacterial SSU rRNA". It matches the Rfam family "Bacterial small subunit ribosomal RNA", at positions 88 to 577 of the family's 1533-position model. The record is from RNAcentral. Lineage: Bacteria; Bacillati; Bacillota; Bacilli; Caryophanales; Listeriaceae.
AAAGUUAGUGGCGGACGGGUGAGUAACACGUGGGCAACCUGCCUGUAAGUUGGGGAUAACUCCGGGAAACCGGGGCUAAUACCGAAUGAUAAAGUGUGGCGCAUGCCACGCUUUUGAAAGAUGGUUUCGGCUAUCGCUUACAGAUGGGCCCGCGGUGCAUUAGCUAGUUGGUAGGGUAAUGGCCUACCAAGGCAACGAUGCAUAGCCGACCUGAGAGGGUGAUCGGCCACACUGGGACUGAGACACGGCCCAGACUCCUACGGGAGGCAGCAGUAGGGAAUCUUCCGCAAUGGACGAAAGUCUGACGGAGCAACGCCGCGUGUAUGAAGAAGGUUUUCGGAUCGUAAAGUACUGUUGUUAGAGAAGAACAAGGAUAAGAGUAACUGCUUGUCCCUUGACGGUAUCUAACCAGAAAGCCACGGCUAACUACGUGCCAGCAGCCGCGGUAAUACGUAGGUGGCAAGCGUUGUCCGGAUUUAUUGGGCGUAAAGCGCGCGCAGGCG